GGAGGUUCUCAGGUGAUGCACCCCAGAAUCAAGCUCCCUCCUCUCUGGUUCUGGGGUGUGUCACUAGAGAACUGCA
Myotis lucifugus (little brown bat) is the source of this 76-nucleotide non-coding RNA. The record is from Rfam. Lineage: Eukaryota; Metazoa; Chordata; Mammalia; Chiroptera; Vespertilionidae.